ACACAGGAAACUUAGAGUUUGAUCCUGGCUCAGGACGAACGCUGGCGGCGUGCUUAACACAUGCAAGUCGAACGGAAAGGCCUCUUCGGAGGUACUCGAGUGGCGAACGGGUGAGUAACACGUGGGCAAUCUGCCCUGCACUUCGGGAUAAGCCUGGGAAACUGGGUCUAAUACCGAAUAGGACCUUUAGACGCAUGUCUUUUGGUGGAAAGCUUUUGCGGUGUGGGAUGGGCCCGCGGCCUAUCAGCUUGUUGGUGGGGUGAUGGCCUACCAAGGCGACGACGGGUAGCUGGCCUGAGAGGGUGUCCGGCCACACUGGGACUGAGAUACGGCCCAGACUCCUACGGGAGGCAGCAGUGGGGAAUAUUGCGCAAUGGGCGCAAGCCUGAUGCAGCGACGCCGCGUGGGGGAUGACGGCCUUCGGGUUGUAAACCUCUUUCACCAUCGACGAAGGUCCGGGUUUUCUCGGAUUGACGGUAGGUGGAGAAGAAGCACCGGCCAACUACGUGCCAGCAGCCGCGGUAAUC
This 527-nucleotide ribosomal RNA is filed under the name uncultured bacterium. Its description in RNAcentral is "bacterial SSU rRNA". It matches the Rfam family "Bacterial small subunit ribosomal RNA", at positions 1 to 525 of the family's 1533-position model. The record is from RNAcentral.